This is a long non-coding RNA of Ornithorhynchus anatinus (platypus), 507 nucleotides long. RefSeq lists it as uncharacterized. NCBI's taxonomy places the organism in Eukaryota, Metazoa, Chordata, Mammalia, Monotremata, Ornithorhynchidae. The transcript has 3 exons. The record is from RefSeq and is a predicted model, not a curated record.
GCCCACGACGGGGCCGGCCCGCUCGCCGGCCCCUCGGCCGAGGGGAGGGGGCUCCUGGGUCCCCAGCCCCCGCAGCUGCUGCCCUCGGCGGCCAGCCCCACCUCUUCCAUCUCGCAGUUCCUGGCUCGGCGCCACCCUUGGGACUUUGGAUCGUCAGGGACCCCCUCCUCUAGACUGGCCUCCCCCGGAGCCGCCGGACCCUCCCGCUGGUUCCCGGACCGAAUCCUGCCUCCCGCCGGCCCCCCGGCCCCGGGGCCUGGCCGGGGGCCUCGGGGCCCCCUCCCCCCGCCCCGCUUCCGGUCCUGACGGUGACCCGCACCCACAACCGGCGCCGCCCCCUCCCUCCUCUCUCCUCCACCUCCACCGCCGUCGUGGAGCCUGAAACGGUGACACUUUAUACUACCUCAGGCUGGGACCGACUCUCCCCGGCCGUCAGUUCCACCUCCGGCAGGGAGGGGCUUAGGGAAGCUCCACACCUAAGAACUCAAUAAAACAGUUGAACUCGGA